Molecule: non-coding RNA, 189 nt
Organism: Caenorhabditis elegans
Lineage: Eukaryota; Metazoa; Nematoda; Chromadorea; Rhabditida; Rhabditidae
Source: Ensembl
AAGCUUACGGUACCUGUCGUUCUCACCCCAUGUCCAUCCAGCGCUGUCAGUGAUGAAUUGAAAAGGCGAGAGCAAGAGAUGUGCUCUCGGCUCCACGAACCUCUUUGAUCUAUGCCGACAGUGGGGGAGAUUGGAGAAGAAGCAUGCUCCACCCUUCACGUGUAUCAGUACGUCUGCGUCUUCUUGUGC